This 536-nucleotide ribosomal RNA is filed under the name uncultured Bacillus sp. RNAcentral describes it as "bacterial SSU rRNA". It matches the Rfam family "Bacterial small subunit ribosomal RNA", at positions 199 to 721 of the family's 1533-position model. The record is from RNAcentral. Lineage: Bacteria; Bacillati; Bacillota; Bacilli; Caryophanales; Bacillaceae.
ACUGAAAGUCGUUUUCGGCUGACACUCACAGAUGGGCCCGCGGCGCAUUAGCUAGUUGGUGAGGUAACGGCUCACCAAGGCGACGAUGCGUAGCCGACCUGAGAGGGUGAUCGGCCACACUGGGACUGAGACACGGCCCAGACUCCUACGGGAGGCAGCAGUAGGGAAUCUUCCACAAUGGACGAAAGUCUGAUGGAGCAACGCCGCGUGAGCGAUGAAGGCCUUCGGGUCGUAAAGCUCUGUUGUUAGGGAAGAACAAGUAUCGGAGUAACUGCCGGUACCUUGACGGUACCUNGCCAGAAAGCCACGGCUAACUACGUGCCAGCAGCCGCGGUAAUACGUAGGUGGCAAGCGUUGUCCGGAAUUAUUGGGCGUAAAGCGCGCGCAGGCGGUCCUUUAAGUCUGAUGUGAAAGCCCACGGCUCAACCGUGGAGGGUCAUUGGAAAACUGGGGGACUUGAGUGCAGAAGAGGAAAGCGGAAUUCCACGUGUAGCGGUGAAAUGCGUAGAGAUGUGGAGGAACACCAGUGGCGAAAG